GACUUCACUCCAGGGUGACUGUAGUCCACGUCACGGCUCAGCCUGGCAUCUUCACAGACCCCCAGGGCAGUGAGAGCUGUAUCAGAAAGAUGAAAACCAGCAGGGUAUAACCAGGUAGAAGACUGACUUGUUACGGAGUUCAGGCCCACACUUCUGUCUUACCCUUUCCUUUUGCUGAUCGUACGUGGAGCUUUGGAAUGAACAGUUUGAAGGGGAAGGACCAAAACACUUGACUUAUCCGCACUAGAAGGACGAGCCAUUAAUAAUGGAAGAAGGGCGGACAUUUACUGAGUCAAAGAGAGGUUUGGAAUGUUAUUGAGGCAAACAGCUCAGCAAGUUUUACAAUUGGGUACAGAAGAGGAUGGCAUCUAUAAUU
Long non-coding RNA from Hyaena hyaena (striped hyena), 376 nucleotides. RefSeq lists it as uncharacterized. The transcript has 3 exons. The record is from RefSeq and is a predicted model, not a curated record. NCBI's taxonomy places the organism in Eukaryota, Metazoa, Chordata, Mammalia, Carnivora, Hyaenidae.